This 1359-nucleotide ribosomal RNA is filed under the name Campylobacter coli. RNAcentral's name for it is "partial 16S ribosomal RNA". It matches the Rfam family "Bacterial small subunit ribosomal RNA". RNAcentral also lists the same sequence under 1 other name. The record is from RNAcentral. Lineage: Bacteria; Pseudomonadati; Campylobacterota; Epsilonproteobacteria; Campylobacterales; Campylobacteraceae.
UUGGAAACGACUGCUAAUACUCUAUACUCCUGCUUAACACAAGUUGAGUAGGGAAAGUUUUUCGGUGUAGGAUGAGACUAUAUAGUAUCAGCUAGUUGGUAAGGUAAUGGCUUACCAAGGCUAUGACGCUUAACUGGUCUGAGAGGAUGAUCAGUCACACUGGAACUGAGACACGGUCCAGACUCCUACGGGAGGCAGCAGUAGGGAAUAUUGCGCAAUGGGGGAAACCCUGACGCAGCAACGCCGCGUGGAGGAUGACACUUUUCGGAGCGUAAACUCCUUUUCUUAGGGAAGAAUUCUGACGGUACCUAAGGAAUAAGCACCGGCUAACUCCGUGCCAGCAGCCGCGGUAAUACGGAGGGUGCAAGCGUUACUCGGAAUCACUGGGCGUAAAGGGCGCGUAGGCGGAUUAUCAAGUCUCUUGUGAAAUCUAAUGGCUUAACCAUUAAACUGCUUGGGAAACUGAUAGUCUAGAGUGAGGGAGAGGCAGAUGGAAUUGGUGGUGUAGGGGUAAAAUCCGUAGAUAUCACCAAGAAUACCCAUUGCGAAGGCGAUCUGCUGGAACUCAACUGACGCUAAGGCGCGAAAGCGUGGGGAGCAAACAGGAUUAGAUACCCUGGUAGUCCACGCCCUAAACGAUGUACACUAGUUGUUGGGGUGCUAGUCAUCUCAGUAAUGCAGCUAACGCAUUAAGUGUACCGCCUGGGGAGUACGGUCGCAAGAUUAAAACUCAAAGGAAUAGACGGGGACCCGCACAAGCGGUGGAGCAUGUGGUUUAAUUCGAAGAUACGCGAAGAACCUUACCUGGGCUUGAUAUCCUAAGAACCUUUUAGAGAUAAGAGGGUGCUAGCUUGCUAGAACUUAGAGACAGGUGCUGCACGGCUGUCGUCAGCUCGUGUCGUGAGAUGUUGGGUUAAGUCCCGCAACGAGCGCAACCCACGUAUUUAGUUGCUAACGGUUCGGCCGAGCACUCUAAAUAGACUGCCUUCGUAAGGAGGAGGAAGGUGUGGACGACGUCAAGUCAUCAUGGCCCUUAUGCCCAGGGCGACACACGUGCUACAAUGGCAUAUACAAUGAGACGCAAUACCGCGAGGUGGAGCAAAUCUAUAAAAUAUGUCCCAGUUCGGAUUGUUCUCUGCAACUCGAGAGCAUGAAGCCGGAAUCGCUAGUAAUCGUAGAUCAGCCAUGCUACGGUGAAUACGUUCCCGGGUCUUGUACUCACCGCCCGUCACACCAUGGGAGUUGAUUUCACUCGAAGCCGGAAUACUAAACUAGUUACCGUCCACAGUGGAAUCAGCGACUGGGGUGAAGUCGUAACAAGGUAACCGUAGGAGAACCUGCGGUUGGAUCACCUCCUUU